RNAcentral lists this transfer RNA (74 nucleotides) under Aquirufa antheringensis. RNAcentral's name for it is "Cytophagaceae bacterium 30S-ANTBAC tRNA-Trp". It matches the Rfam family "tRNA". From Rfam's summary of the family: Transfer RNA (tRNA) molecules are approximately 80 nucleotides in length. Their secondary structure includes four short double-helical elements and three loops (D, anti-codon, and T loops). Lineage: Bacteria; Pseudomonadati; Bacteroidota; Cytophagia; Cytophagales; Flectobacillaceae. The record is from RNAcentral.
ACGGGCAUAGUAUAAUGGUAGUAUGCAGGUCUCCAAAACCUUUGGUCAGGGUUCGAAUCCUUGUGCCCGUGCUA